This 403-nucleotide ribosomal RNA is filed under the name uncultured bacterium. RNAcentral describes it as "partial 16S ribosomal RNA". It matches the Rfam family "Bacterial small subunit ribosomal RNA", at positions 28 to 526 of the family's 1533-position model. The record is from RNAcentral.
GACGAACGCUGGCGGCGUGCCUAAUACAUGCAAGUCGAACGCAGUGGGGACGGGUGAGUAACACGUGGGUAACCUCCCAUCAGAGGGGAUAACCCUUGGAAACAGGUGCUACCCCGAUACUGGCGGAUGGACCUGCGGUGCAUUAGCCAGUUGGUGGGGUAACGGCCCACCAAGGCCACGAUGCAUAGCCGACCUGAGAGGGUGAUCGGCCACACGGGGACUGAGAAACGGCCCAGACUCCUACGGGAGGCAGCAGUAGGGAAUCUUGGGCAAUGGACGAAAGUCUGACCGAGCAACGCCGCGUGAGUGAAGAAGGUUUUCGGAUCGUAAAACUCUUUUGUUGGGGAAGCGGUAUCUGACGAAAAAGCCACGGCUAACUACGUGCCAGCAGCCGCGGUAAUUC